UAAAUAAGUCUUUAUGCUUAUGUGUGAUCGUUUUUAAUUCUCAAAGCUCAAUAGACUUUUUCGAGUUUCCCGAAAGGGAAAUCUCUCUCCUAUAAGCAUGUAAGUUACUCACCUUUAUCUAAAUUAUGUUUCUGCUAGAUACUUACCCCUAUUUAUUUUAAAAAUUUUUGUUAUUCUGUAUAGUUUUAUGUUUCAUGUUCAUAUGCUCGAUUAUUAGAUAUCACUCUUAGUAUAUGGUUAACUUCCCAAUUUCUUAGCAAUUAUGAUGGAUUAACCUGUAAAUUCCUAGGAAAAACUGGUUAAGUAAAAUCUGAAAACAAUUAAGAAGGGUAUAAGUGUUUAACUAUGGUCGGGUGAGGUUAAAGAAAUAAGAGUUAAGAAAGGUGUCAAAAACUUUAAAAUAUUGGGAAGAAGAGAUGAACAGAGUGGAUUAAAAAAAAGAGUAGUAAAGGGGUAAUCUCAGUUCAUAAUUUAGUUAAUAUGGUAACUAUACAAGUCUAUAGAAUAAGAGAGAGAGAGUACCGAGUAGGAUUUUCACAACAUAAGAGUUUAAUCGCAAAAAAUAAUUUUAUUGUUAAUGUCCAAUAAUCGUAAUAACUAUACAAAUCGAGAAAGCUUUGCUAGGAGCCUUACUCAAAGUUUGGAAGAAUUUAUAUUAGACAUAGAAACCGGAUUUUAUUCGAUAGUAGAUUUGGCCGUACAUUUUAUAUAUCUACAAUACAAUAGUAGUAUCUGUUCAGAUAGAUAUAGAAAACAACUGCAUUUGAUAUAGUUAAUAUUAUCAUACCAUCAGUCAUAUCAUCUAUACCAUCUAAGAAGACGAUUUUAAUUUUUUAACUCUAACUUUUUAGGCAACUUUAACUGACUUUAACUUUUUAACCCCUUCUUAUAUAUAUAUAUAUAACAGUAUCAAGGUGGUUAAACUUAUGAGGUGUAACACAUUCAAUAUGGAGGCUUUUCCAUUCAUCUGCUCAAAUAGUUCAAGAGCAUCAGCCAAACCAAGGAAAAGCUCAUUGGUCGUCUCUUUGGUUCUUCAGAAUCAUUUGAGAGUUGCAAAAUAAAAUUCAGGGAAGUUGGAGAAGAGGGAUGUCUUUUAUUUAAUUUAUGUAAAAAGAGGAGGGUAUCGCCGUUCUCUAUUUUUCAGAGAAAAAGGUCCACCUUUUUGAGAAGGUUCAAUCUCUUUCUUUUUAUGUGGGAUCCGAUCUUUUUUAGUGAAGAAAAAAGGGAAAGCUGCGCUAGGUCUAGAAAAAUGGGGAAGGGAUCCCAUUUUUAGGUCUAGGAACUAGGUUUUAAUUAAAGGGGAUGGGUUUUGGGUCGGUUCGGGUCGGGUCAGGCGGGUUUGGGGCUGUUUUGGGGGAAUUUGGGAUUGGACUAGUUUAGAAAGAAAUGGCCAAUUCGGCCAAAAACCCUUUUUAAAAUUUUUUUAAAGACUAAUUAAUUUAAAUAAACCCUAAACUAAGUCCUAAAUUAUCUUUAUUUGCAAAAUUAAACUAAUUAUCCAUUUGUAUUAAUUAUAAAAAUUACUUAAUCCUAAAUUAAAAGAGAAAAAUCAAUAAUCUAAAAAUUAAAAGGUAAAAAAUGUAAAAUGAGCCAUUUUUUUGAUUUUCAACUUUAAUAAAAUAAAUAAUUAACUAAAUAAUCCUAAAAUUAUAAAAAUAAAAAUCUAAAUACAAUGCAUGGUAUUUUUUUGAUUUUAAUAAAAAUUAAACGCGCACAAAAAUAUAAACAAUUAAUAAAAUUCUACAAAAAUUCCUAAAAAUAUCAAAUAAUUAAGUAAAAUCUAUUUUCUUGGGUUUUGUUUAGGAGUAGUUCGUAGAGGACAAAAAUCACAUGCUCACAACGACCAAUCAUCAUACUCCUACCAUAUAUACUGGUAUCCGAGCCCGAAGGUAGUACCAUGACAUUUCAGCAGUAUCGGUUUGGUAAUACCGUGGAGAUUCUUCCCAAGCCCUUUGUCGGGUUCAUACCUAGACCAUGCCAGUAUGCUUUCUAUUUUGCUACUCUAUCAUUUGCCUUUCUCAACGGCAUUGACACGUUCGAUGUGAUGAUAGGUUUCCCCUCCUGCCGUACUUCUGUUUCCGAUAACCGGGAUGGUUUGACUGGUGUAAAUAGGGUUACUCCCGUCUCUGUGAAUAAUCACCUCCUGAUAGAUCCAUUCAAAUUUCAUGACUUGAUAUAGUGUGGAAGCCACAGCCCCAGCUGCAUGUAUCCAUGGUUGGCCCAACAGAAGAUUGUAUAAGGCUGAUAUGUCGAGUACCUGGAAUUCCACGUCGAACCAAGUUGGCCCCAUCUGCAGACAAAGAUUAAUUUCUCCAAUCGUGGCCCUUUGAGACCCAUCGAAGGCUUUCACGUUCAUGCUUCCUGCCCGUAUUUCAUGGAAACCUUUGCCCAAUCUUUUCAGAGUAUUCAAUGGACAAAUAUUGAGGCUUGAACCUCCAUCAAUCAAGACCCUGACAAUGAAUUUGUCUUCAAAUUGCACUGUGAUAUGCAAUGCUCGGUUGUGAUUCAACCCUCCAGGUGGUAGCUCAUCCUCGUGGAAGAUUAUUUUAUGACUUUCCAGCAUUUUCCCUACCAUGUUGGCCAUCUCUCCACAGAUGAUAUUGUUGGGAACGUAAGCUUCAGUCAACACAUUCAUCAAAGCAUUCUUGUGCGCCUCUGAAUUUUGCAAUAGUGAUAGUAUGGAUAUCUGAGUUGUAGUUUUGUUUAAAUGAUCGAUGACGGAGUAUUACCUUGCUUGUACUUUCCUCCAUAGGUCAUCUGGUCCUAUUUCAAUGACAGGCUGCUUGGCAGUUGCAUCCUUACUUGGUCCUCCCAAGU
Molecule: long non-coding RNA, 2817 nt
Filed under: Nicotiana tabacum (common tobacco)
Lineage: Eukaryota; Viridiplantae; Streptophyta; Magnoliopsida; Solanales; Solanaceae
Description: long non-coding RNA (NTAB_LNC015221)
Source: RNAcentral